UGAAGUUCAAAGAUGUUUGGAACCUUUGUUGUCUCCGUUUCUCUAGGAAAUAGCAAUUUUAUAGUGGUUAGUCCAAUGAUUUAGGGAGUAUUUGCAGUUUUGCUAAAUUAAUUGAUAAAAAUUAGAACGAUGUCCAUGUAACAUGAUAUACAUAUACAAAUCAAAAUAAUAAUAUAUCUUAUUAAAGUAUAAGUAAUUUAAGUUUUUGUUUGGCAACAUAUAUUGUAGUUCAAAAAAGAAUAGUGAUAUUUAGAAACAUGAAUAGCUGCAAGUUAGGAAGAAAAAA
RNAcentral lists this long non-coding RNA (286 nucleotides) under Brassica napus (rape). RNAcentral's name for it is "long non-coding RNA (BNAP_LNC007237)". The record is from RNAcentral. Lineage: Eukaryota; Viridiplantae; Streptophyta; Magnoliopsida; Brassicales; Brassicaceae.